Molecule: ribosomal RNA, 471 nt
Filed under: uncultured organism
Description: partial 16S ribosomal RNA
Rfam family: Bacterial small subunit ribosomal RNA
Source: RNAcentral
ACUCCUGCGGGAGGCAGCAGUGGGGAAUUUUGGACAAUGGGUGAAAGCCUGAUCCAGCCAUGCCGCGUGCAGGAUGAAGGCCUUCGGGUUGUAAACUGCUUUUGUACGGAACGAAACGGCCUUUUCUAAUAAAGAGGGCUAAUGACGGUACCGUAAGAAUAAGCACCGGCUAACUACGUGCCAGCAGCCGCGGUAAUACGUAGGGUGCAAGCGUUAAUCGGAAUUACUGGGCGUAAAGCGUGCGCAGGCGGUUAUGUAAGACAGUUGUGAAAUCCCCGGGCUCAACCUGGGAACUGCAUCUGUGACUGCAUAGCUAGAGUACGGUAGAGGGGGAUGGAAUUCCGCGUGUAGCAGUGAAAUGCGUAGAUAUGCGGAGGAACACCGAUGGCGAAGGCAAUCCCCUGGACCUGUACUGACGCUCAUGCACGAAAGCGUGGGGAGCAAACAGGAUUAGAUACCCUGGUAGUCCCA